Molecule: ribosomal RNA, 254 nt
Filed under: uncultured bacterium
Lineage: Bacteria
Description: partial 16S ribosomal RNA
Rfam family: Bacterial small subunit ribosomal RNA
Source: RNAcentral
CACGUAGGGUGCGAGCGUUGUCCGGAAUUAUUGGGCGUAAAGAGCUCGUAGGCGGUGUGUCGCGUCGGCCGUGAAAACCUGCAGCUUAACUGUGGGCUUGCGGUCGAUACGGGCAUCACUGGAGUUCGGCAGGGGAGACUGGAAUUCCUGGUGUAGCGGUGAAAUGCGCAGAUAUCAGGAGGAACACCGGUGGCGAAGGCGGCACGCUGGGCCCGCCCUGACGCUGAGGCGCGAAAGCCAGGGGAGCGAACGGG